AACCACCUGAGAAUGGGUAAAGAGACACCGUGUUCUUGGCAUUGUUCUUAUAUCAGUCAGGGGCAGAGCAGACAACAGUCCUUUGUUCAUCCUAGCUUCAUACCUGGCCUGGUGUCCAGAGCUGUCCUAUGUCUAGGACACAGAA
Grammomys surdaster is the source of this 145-nucleotide small nucleolar RNA. RefSeq annotates it as small nucleolar RNA SNORA48. The record is from RefSeq and is a predicted model, not a curated record. Lineage: Eukaryota; Metazoa; Chordata; Mammalia; Rodentia; Muridae. The transcript has a single exon.